Long non-coding RNA from Rosa rugosa (rugosa rose), 1108 nucleotides. RefSeq lists it as uncharacterized. NCBI's taxonomy places the organism in Eukaryota, Viridiplantae, Streptophyta, Magnoliopsida, Rosales, Rosaceae. The transcript has 3 exons. The record is from RefSeq and is a predicted model, not a curated record.
UCUCUCCCUUUUCUCUGCAACUCCGGCCACCUCACGAUUCCGGCCACCUGGGGACGAACGAGUGGCACCGUUGGACUCCUCUACUCCUACCCAACCUCCCCACAGCGGUAACUCACGGCGGCUUGGCCGAAAAACGAUGCAUCGGGUCCUUGAAGUUUACUGUAGCAGUUUGGGGUUUCGUCGAUUUCCGGUGAUUCCGGCCAUCUCCAGCCACCAAACCGGCGUCGAAGGUUCGGUUUUUGCCAAGGAUCAUUAUGCCCCUAGCCUUGAGCCACGACUUGAAGCAUGGAGGAAGAAUCGAAGGGCAAUGUUGCGAGCUACGGCUAGAUGAAGGGACUCGUUUGCGUGGUCGCCAACUAGUACUUUUGCAUGCGUUAUUAGUUGAGGUCGGGCGUACAUGGUUUGAGGCAUAGUUGAUGAAUGGCUUCCGCACUUCUUUGUUGGCUCUGAUCUAUUGUGGGUUACUAUUUUGGGUAGUCCACUUUAGGGGUGACUCGACCAGUUCUCGGUAGAGUUAUCUCUAAGGUGGGCCCCGCAGGGCCACCUCGGAUUUCGGGGCGGGUCCUGUCAAAAUCACCCUAGUUAGAAGGGGAUUAACAAUCCUGAAAGUGAACUCAUUUCUUGCAUGCCACACCUAUUAGCUCACAAGUUGUUGAAGAGGAAAGAUCCCACAUUAGAAAAGUGACAAAUAAAAAUAUAACUUAUAAGUGAUUGGCUCACACCCAGUUGUACCAAGACCUUUUGUGAUUAAAACCCAACACCUAACGGGUGGUUAAGUUGGGACAGUAUCGGUACAAUGCCUGGCUACAGGUCACGCUUGUCGCUGUUUAGCAUCGUAUUAGAGUGUGUCCCUAUCCAAUCACGUCUCCAAUUAUCACGAGUUCAUUAAAUUGGCCAUCGAAACUAUUCCAAUUGGGUUGUUAAUUCACCAAGUUUUCGAUGUGGGACUUGUGUCCCAAUUUUCAAUGUGGGAGUUGGAUUUGUUAGUUGAUGCCCAAGUCUCCAACGUGGGACUUGUGCCUCAAUUUCCAAUAUGGAAAUUGGAUUGUUAAUUGAUUGUACAUGCAGACCUAGAGCUAGGUUGCACGUGAGGGGGCGUGUUGGAGAG